UACGUAGGGGGCGAGCGUUGUCCGGAUUUAUUGGGCGUAAAGCGCACGCAGGCGGUCUGCUAAGUUCAGGGUGACAAUCACCAGCUUAACUGGUGAAGGACCUUGAAAACUGGCAGACUUGAGAGCGAGAGAGGGACACGGAACUCCGGGUGGAGCAGUGAAAUGCGUAGAGAUCCGGAAGAACACCAAAGGCGAAGGCAGUGUCCUGGCUCGUUUCUGACGCUCAGGUGCGAAAGCGAGGGGAGCGAACGGG
Molecule: ribosomal RNA, 253 nt
Filed under: uncultured bacterium
Lineage: Bacteria
Description: partial 16S ribosomal RNA
Rfam family: Bacterial small subunit ribosomal RNA
Source: RNAcentral